UUGGAGGGCAAGUCUGGUGCCAGCAGCCGCGGUAAUUCCAGCUCCAAUAGCGUAUAUUAAAGUUGUUGCAGUUAAAAAGCUCGUAGUUGAAUUUCGGGGUCAGUAGGUCGGUCGUGCUACUGGUAUGAACUGGUUUUACUGAUUCCUCCCUCUUGAAGAACUGUAAUGCCAUUAAUUUGGUGUUGCAGGGAAUCAGGACUGUUACUUUGAAAAAAUUAGAGUGUUUAAAGCAGGCUUUAGCUUGAAUACAUUAGCAUGGAAUAAUGAAGUAGGACGUUUGAUCCUAUUUUGUUGGUUUCUAGGAUUGACGUAAUGAUUAAUAGGGAUAGUUGGGGGCAUUAGUAUUCAAUUGUCAGAGGUGAAAUUCUUGGAUUUAUUGAAGACUAACUACUGCGAAAGCAUUUGCCAAGGAUGUUUUCAUUAAUCAAGAACGAAAGUUAGGGGAUCGAAGACGAUCAGAUACCGUCGUAGUCUUAACCAUAAACUAUGCCGACUAGGGAUCGGAUGAUGUUAAUUUUUUAAUGACUCAUUCGGCGCCUUACGGGAAAC
This 549-nucleotide ribosomal RNA is filed under the name uncultured Glomeromycotina. RNAcentral describes it as "SSU rRNA". It matches the Rfam family "Eukaryotic small subunit ribosomal RNA", at positions 548 to 1098 of the family's 1831-position model. The record is from RNAcentral. Lineage: Eukaryota; Fungi; Glomeromycota.